GUGAAGAACGUAGCGAAAUGCGAUAAGUAAUGUGAAUUGCAGAAUUCCGUGAAUCAUCGAAUCUUUGAACGCACAUUGCGCCCUCUGGUAUUCCGGGGGGCAUGCCUGUCCGAGCGUCAUUUGCAACCCUCAAGCCCGGCUUGUGUGAUGGGUGCCGUCCCCUACGGGACGCGCCCCGAAGGCAAUGGCGGCGUCGCGGUUAUCCGAUCAGCCAAAGUGUAUGGGGCUUUGUCACUCACUUUACGGCCCGGACCGGCGCCAGUCCGAAUCAAUCUUUUUUCUAAAGUUGACCUCGGAUCAGGUAGGGAUACCCGCUGAACUUAAGCAUAUCAAUAAGCGGAGGA
Molecule: unclassified non-coding RNA, 344 nt
Filed under: soil metagenome
Description: partial contains 5.8S ribosomal RNA, internal transcribed spacer 2, and large subunit ribosomal RNA
Rfam family: 5.8S ribosomal RNA (bases 2-119)
Source: RNAcentral